UCAAUGCUCAGAACACAGUAAGUAUUGA
Molecule: non-coding RNA, 28 nt
Filed under: Bombyx mori (domestic silkworm)
Lineage: Eukaryota; Metazoa; Arthropoda; Insecta; Lepidoptera; Bombycidae
Source: RNAcentral